Molecule: long non-coding RNA, 495 nt
Organism: Perca fluviatilis (European perch)
Lineage: Eukaryota; Metazoa; Chordata; Actinopteri; Perciformes; Percidae
Exons: 3
Source: RefSeq, a predicted model, not a curated record
CAAAGGAAGACCCCGACCGGCCACUCCGGCCACCACAAAGGGCCGUUGGGCGCUGGCGUGGGGCCAGGUGCUGCACGCUGCACACAGCCAGGGAUAGGCCGUGCAGAUGGGGCCUGCAGAGCCCCCCCCCCACUCCUGUGUACGAGAGAGUGCAGAUCUGAGAGUGAGAGACUGGCGGCCUGCGUGUCCAGCGGGAACUGAACCAGCUGAGGUCGGCCUACAGUCUUGCAGUGCGAUAGGAGCGAAAACCAAAGAUGCAGCGGAAGGAAGGAUUGGCCAGGAACCCUAUUAUCUCAGCAACAAGGAAUGAGAAAUGGAAUUAAAAACACCCAAAACAAGGUCUGUCGCACACCAGCCGCACUGGCUCCUAUCUUCCCAUGUACCGUAUAUAACAUCCUUACGCUGCACAAAACCCACACUAAAAAUCAAAACAGCCUCGCACUUUGCACGGUAUCUUAUUUCCUACAUCACAGCGUUGCUCGCGCUGACCCAGCA